Molecule: ribosomal RNA, 438 nt
Filed under: uncultured bacterium
Lineage: Bacteria
Description: partial 16S ribosomal RNA
Rfam family: Bacterial small subunit ribosomal RNA
Source: RNAcentral
CUACGGGGGGCAGCAGUGAGGAAUAUUGCACAAUGGGGGGAACCCUGAUGCAGCAACGCCGCGUGGAGGAUGACGCAUUUCGGUGUGUAAACUCCUUUUAUAUGUCAAGAAAAUGACGGUAGCAUAUGAAUAAGCACCGGCUAACUCCGUGCCAGCAGCCGCGGUAAUACGGAGGGUGCAAGCGUUACUCGGAAUCACUGGGCGUAAAGGACGCGUAGGCGGGCUUGUAAGUCAGGUGUGAAAUCCUACAGCUUAACUGUAGAACUGCACUUGAAACUACGAGCCUAGAGUAUGGGAGGGGGAGAUGGAAUUAGUGGUGUAGGGGUAAAAUCCGUAGAUAUCACUAGGAAUACCUAAAGCGAAGGCGAUCUCCUGGAACAUAACUGACGCUAAGGCGUGAAAGCGUGGGGAGCAAACAGGAUUAGAACCCUUGUAGUC